UGCAACAGUCUUGUGACAGGCAAUAGCGGUUUAAGGUUCCGUACUGCUCAACUUAAAAUUACCAGCAUAUUAACGCCAAGAAAAUUUUGAAUUUAAACUAAUACAAGUGUACAGGGGCCGUUUGCAUUUCUCUUCCGAUUUUACUAAUAUUGAAGAAAGCUAACGGCUAGAAAAUUUCAAUUUAACUAUAGAGAACAGCUGUUGGAUUUCUCUCUAUUCAGCCGUUGUAUUCUCUUUUAAAAUAUAUACUCCUCCAAAAUUGAAAAGUCCAUCUAUGUAGAUAGAGAAAUACAGCGGCUCGAAAGAAGAAUCAAUAGAAUUAGAGAGAGCGAGAGAGCGCUACGAAAAUGUCAGAGCAUGAGAUAUUAUAGACAAUGAGAGAUGAGCGGAGAGACGGAAAGAAUCGAGAAGAUGAUGCACAGCGGGUACAACGGUUAUGGAAACGGGGUGAUGACGUCGGCAUCGGCGGCGACGACGCCCAUGGCCAUGACGUUGUCUUCAUCCUCGACAAAUGCGCAAUCUCGGGGCCUGAAGACGUACUUCAAGAAUCCAGAGGGACGCAUCUGCAUUUUGAUUUCCUUUGGAGAAUACCCUAUUGAAUAGAAAAUGGCGUCUUCUUUGGGAACUAACGUGGGGUUUUCGAUUCUUAAAGGCAAGGUUCAGUAAUUUUUGCCUUGCAAGAAACCGGCUCAUGCACAAGCAGAAAGAUAAAAGAAGAAAACCAAGCGUAGACAUCGUGGCUGUUAAUGGGCAGUGUGAAGAAAAAGCCUUACUGCAACGACAUUGGAGGUACCUUCAAAGAGUACUGGAGAGACCCAAUCCAAGGAGGUAAGGUGAUAACUGUAAUGAAGAAAGAAGAGGUAAAUACUGUUUUAUAUUAACCUUUAUCUUGAUAUUCUC
This is a long non-coding RNA of Juglans microcarpa x Juglans regia, 900 nucleotides long. RefSeq lists it as uncharacterized. NCBI's taxonomy places the organism in Eukaryota, Viridiplantae, Streptophyta, Magnoliopsida, Fagales, Juglandaceae. The record is from RefSeq and is a predicted model, not a curated record. The transcript has 3 exons.